This 498-nucleotide ribosomal RNA is filed under the name uncultured bacterium. RNAcentral's name for it is "partial 16S ribosomal RNA". It matches the Rfam family "Bacterial small subunit ribosomal RNA", at positions 28 to 508 of the family's 1533-position model. The record is from RNAcentral.
GAUGAACGCUGGCGGCGUGCCUAAUACAUGCAAGUCGAGCGAACGGACGAGAAGCUUGCUUUUCUGAUGUUAGCGGCGGACGGGUGAGUAACACGUGGAUAACCUACCUAUAAGACUGGGAUAACUUCGGGAAACCGGAGCUAAUACCGGAUAAUAUUUUGAACCGCAUGGUUCAAAAGUGAAAGACGGUCUUGCUGUCACUUAUAGAUGGAUCCGCGCUGCAUUAGCUAGUUGGUAAGGUAACGGCUUACCAAGGCAACGAUGCAUAGCCGACCUGAGAGGGUGAUCGGCCACACUGGAACUGAGACACGGUCCAGACUCCUACGGGAGGCAGCAGUAGGGAAUCUUCCGCAAUGGGCGAAAGCCUGACGGAGCAACGCCGCGUGAGUGAUGAAGGGCUUCGGAUCGUAAAACUCUGUUAUUAGGGAAGAACAUAUGUGUAAGUAACUGUGCACAUCUUGACGGUACCUAAUCAGAAAGCCACGGCUAACUACGUGC